GGGGAAUAUUGCACAAUGGGGGGAACCCUGAUGCAGCAACGCCGCGUGAGCGACGAAGGCCUUCGGGUUGUAAAGCUCUGUCUUUGGGGACGAUAAUGACGGUACCCAAGGAGGAAGCCACGGCUAACUACGUGCCAGCAGCCGCGGUAAUACGUAGGUGGCAAGCGUUGUCCGGAAUUAUUGGGCGUAAAGGGUGCGUAGGCGGCAGUUUAAGUGGGAUGUGAAAUACCUGGGCUUAACUCAGGAGUGGCAUUCCAAACUGGACUGCUAGAGUGCAGGAGAGGAAAGUGGAAUUCCCAGUGUAGCGGUGAAAUGCGUAGAGAUUGGGAGGAACACCAGUGGCGAAGGCGACUUUCUGGACUGUAACUGACGCUGAUGCACGAAAGCGUGGGGAGCAAAC
This 400-nucleotide ribosomal RNA is filed under the name uncultured bacterium. Its description in RNAcentral is "bacterial SSU rRNA". It matches the Rfam family "Bacterial small subunit ribosomal RNA", at positions 356 to 773 of the family's 1533-position model. The record is from RNAcentral.